This 378-nucleotide ribosomal RNA is filed under the name uncultured bacterium. RNAcentral's name for it is "partial 16S ribosomal RNA". It matches the Rfam family "Bacterial small subunit ribosomal RNA", at positions 338 to 732 of the family's 1533-position model. The record is from RNAcentral.
CCUACGGGUGACAGCAGUGGGGGAUAUUGCACAAUGGGGGGAACCCUGAUGCAGCGACGCCGCGUGGGUGAAGGAGCGUUUCGGCGCGUAAAGCCCUAUCUGCAGGGGAGAAGGAGGGCGGUACCUGACUAAGAAGCCCCGGCUAACCACGUGCCAGCAGCCGCGGUAAUACGGAGGGGGCAAGCGUUAUCCGGAUUUACUGGGUGUAAAGGGGGCGCAUACGGGAGCGCAAGCCAGGAGGGAAAGCCCGGGGGCCAAACCCGGGACUGCGCUUGGAACUGCGGGGCUGGAGUGGGGGAGGGGAAGGCGGAAUGCGUGGUGUAGCGGUGAAAUGCGUAGAUAUCAGGAGGAACACCGGUGGCGAAGGCGGCCUGCCGG